Molecule: ribosomal RNA, 254 nt
Filed under: uncultured archaeon
Lineage: Archaea
Description: partial 16S ribosomal RNA
Rfam family: Archaeal small subunit ribosomal RNA
Source: RNAcentral
CACCGGCGGCCCGAGUGGUAGCCGCUAUUAUUGGGUCUAAAGGGUCCGUAGCCGGUUCGAUAAGUCCUCUGGGAAAUCUGGUUGCUUAACAAUCAGACUGCCAAGGGAUACUGUCGAACUUGAGACCGGGAGAGGUAAGAGGUACUUCAGGGGUAGGAGUGAAAUCUUGUAAUCCCUGGGGGACCAUCUGUGGCGAAGGCGUCUUACCAGAACGGGUCUGACGGUGAGGGACGAAAGCUGGGGGCGCAAACCGG